GAUGAACGCUAGCUACAGGCUUAACACAUGCAAGUCGGGGGGUAACGAGAGGAAAGCUUGCUUUCCUUGUCGACGACCGGCGCACGGGUGAGUAACGCGUAUCCAACCUGCCCCCAACUAAGGAAUAACCUUGCGAAAGUAAGACUAAUACCUUAUAAUUUCCUCAGAUGUCAUCUGACGAGGAAUAAAGAUUUAUCGGUUGUGGAUGGGGAUGCGCUCUGAUUAGCUUGUUGGCGGGGUAACGGCCCACCAAGGCAACGAACAGAAGGGGUUCUGAGAGGAAGGUCCCCAAAAUGGGAAGUGGGACCCGGUCAAAACUCGUACGAGAGACAGCAGUGAGGAAUAUUGGUCAAUGGGCGGAAGCCUGAACCAGCCAAGUAGCGUGCAGGAUGACGGCCCUAUGGGUUGUAAACUGCUUUUAUACAGGAAUAAAGUUAGCCACGUGUGGUUAUUUGUAGGUACUGUAUGAAUAAGGACCGGCUAAUUCCGUGCCAGCCGCCGCCGUAA
This 507-nucleotide ribosomal RNA is filed under the name uncultured bacterium. Its description in RNAcentral is "partial 16S ribosomal RNA". It matches the Rfam family "Bacterial small subunit ribosomal RNA", at positions 28 to 523 of the family's 1533-position model. The record is from RNAcentral.